UCCUACGGGAGGCAGCAGUGGGGAAUAUUGCACAAUGGGCGCAAGCCUGAUGCAGCCAUGCCCGCGUGUAUGAAAGAAGGCCUUCGGGUUGUAAAGUACUUUCAGCAGUGAGGAAGGGGGUAUCGUUAAUAGCGGUAUCUUUUGACGUUAGCUGCAGAAGAAGCACCGGCUAACUCCGUGCCAGCAGCCGCGGAACUACGGAGGGUGCGAGCGUUAAUCGGAAUUACUGGGCGUAAAGCGCAUGCAGGUGGUUUGUUACCUCAGAUGUGAAAGCCCGGGGCUCAACCUCGGAAUUGCAUUUGAAACUGGCAGGCUAGAGUACUGUAGAGGGGGGUAGAAUUUCAGGUGUAGCGGUGAAAUGCGUAGAGAUCUGAAGGAAUACCGGUGGCGAAGGCGGCCCCCUGGACAGAUACUGACACUCAGAUGCGAAAGCGUGGGGAGCAAACAGGAUUAGAUACCCUGGUAGUCCACGCCGUAAACGAUGUCUACUUGGAGGUUGUGGCCUUGAGCCGUGGCUUUCGGAGCUAACGCGUUAAGUAGACCGCCUGGGGAGUACGGUCGCAAGAUUAAAACUCAAAUGAAUUGACGGGGGCCCGCACAAGCGGUGG
Molecule: ribosomal RNA, 608 nt
Filed under: Vibrio fluvialis
Lineage: Bacteria; Pseudomonadati; Pseudomonadota; Gammaproteobacteria; Vibrionales; Vibrionaceae
Description: bacterial SSU rRNA
Rfam family: Bacterial small subunit ribosomal RNA
Source: RNAcentral